GCUCCGGUGGUGUAGAAGUAAGUUAUAUUGCACAAUCCGGUCAAGCAUUGCGGCCUUUCGAGCCGCGGAUCCCGGGUUCAAAUCCCGGCCGGAGCA
RNAcentral lists this transfer RNA (96 nucleotides) under Nitrososphaerota archaeon. RNAcentral describes it as "Thaumarchaeota archaeon tRNA-Glu". It matches the Rfam family "tRNA". From Rfam's summary of the family: Transfer RNA (tRNA) molecules are approximately 80 nucleotides in length. Their secondary structure includes four short double-helical elements and three loops (D, anti-codon, and T loops). Lineage: Archaea; Thermoproteati; Nitrososphaerota. The record is from RNAcentral.